GCCGUCCUAGCUCAGUUGGUAGAGCAAUUGAUUCGUAAUCAGUAGGUCGCCGGUUCGAUUCCGGCGGACGGCACCA
This 76-nucleotide transfer RNA is filed under the name Rhodospirillales bacterium. RNAcentral describes it as "tRNA-Thr". It matches the Rfam family "tRNA". From Rfam's summary of the family: Transfer RNA (tRNA) molecules are approximately 80 nucleotides in length. Their secondary structure includes four short double-helical elements and three loops (D, anti-codon, and T loops). Further hydrogen bonds mediate the characteristic L-shaped molecular structure. tRNAs have two regions of fundamental functional importance: the anti-codon, which is responsible for specific mRNA codon recognition, and the 3' end, to which the tRNAs corresponding amino acid is attached (by aminoacyl-tRNA synthetases). tRNAs cope with the degeneracy of the genetic code in two manners: having more than one tRNA (with a specific anti-codon) for a particular amino acid; and 'wobble' base-pairing, i.e. permitting non-standard base-pairing at the 3rd anti-codon position. Lineage: Bacteria; Pseudomonadati; Pseudomonadota; Alphaproteobacteria; Rhodospirillales. The record is from RNAcentral.